ACUGUCCCCUCUCACCAACCUUAAGAUCCUACAGGCGACAGCGGACUCGAGCACCUGCAGGCCCCAGGAGAAUGGAAGGUGGGCUGAAUCGCAGCUGUUGGCCAUCUUCAUUUCAUUUUGCCUCAUGAGGUUCUCGGUGCUUUUAUAUACAUAUACAUAUACAUAUAUAUAUGUGUCAAAGCCAUCCAAAAUCCCAAUAUCAACGUGGUUCGUAGGGCUGGCUCAAAUCAAGCUCUGGCCCCGCUUUUAUCCCGGCGGCAUCGAUAACACUCUGCCAAUCAUAUCACGAUAACGUGCGGCUUAUUGCCCGUCGUCUCACUUUAUUUUUAAACCUUCUCGGAUCGUUCCCGUGCACUUGGUGAAGUUGAGAGCCAAAAAAACUGGCAUGGGCUGGUAGAUAAUAGAUAUUCAUUUAUAUUGGUAUAUCAUGUUUGGUCCGAGGAAGACUUCUACAUCAGAGAAAGGAAUCUCAAGGGGCCAGUCCCAGCCCGUGCACGGAUCUACUAGCAAGCGGUGGGCAGAAAUUCUGAUUUCAUAGAGGGCAGGAGCUGGAAUAAUCUAACUAUACAACUAAUUAAAAAAGAAAAAGGUGGGAAUCGAAAAAGGCAUGCAUACAUACUUGAGCCUGCUUGAAAAAAAAUGAUAGAGAUUCGAAUGGUCAAAGGGAAGAGUUAAUGAACAUCACAACAUUGUCAAAUAUCUUCCAAAUGAGAGAGAAGAGACACCACUUUGCCACUUCUCAUCGUGGAUAUUUAGUGUAGAAACAAAGACGAAAAGGAGGAAGGAAGAAAAGUACUUCCGACUUUGGAUGAAUUUUUUUUUCCUGUUCAUUCCCCAUCAACCGAAAUGGGAUAUGGAAAAAUAGGUUCCAAUCUAUGGAUAACUCGCCGGAACCUUGGCAAACCCAUCAUCCCCCGCUCUUAAUCAUCAAUCAUAGACCCUCACGGUGUUGGCCUACUCUGUAUUCAAAGCACAUUCCGGUGUUAAAGAGAUAAAGCUUGGUCAUGAAUAUAGAUGCGCCUCAUGCAACUUAGUCUAUAGUCCGCAACAUUGAAUAUUGAUAGCUUCUAUUUACCCUAGAGAUAAGAGGGAAAAAAUUACAAAAAUCAACUAGUUUCAGAAAACCGAGCAAGAGGGUGUGUGUAGCUGAUAACUAGUGUGCCACGGGGGACCCGAUAAGGUUAAGCUUAGGUAGGUACAUAGAUUCAUGGAGGUAAAUAACAGAACAUCGCAACAAAAGGUGGGGGAAGCAAAAAAAUGAAAAGAAAAAAGCAUGGGUCUAGAAGAAAAUGUUGUAGUAAUGUGUCAUGAUUGAGCAGAUAAGCGGUCAUUAAGGAGAGAAGACGAAAUAUAUCGAGGAAAGUAAUGGUAUAGAACAUGGAUACAUGGGGGAGGUGGUGUGGGCUUCUUCAGGAUCAAGGUUGAGAGAGUGGGGAAGAAGUGGCAUACAGAGCAACAUUCAUGGAAUAACAUGCUCCCAACAGCGAACGUCCCGACUAUUCCCGGAUUAUAGUGUCAUAUCGGGAUGGCAUUGAAGGCGACGAAGGGAGACAAUAUAAUCCUGGCGCAGAAGGAAGAAAAAAAUGAUAAGGAUGGAAAAGGAGGGCAAUUGAAGGGACCAGAGACAAUUAAAAGCACUCAAAAAAUAAGCACCCCGAGAAUAAUGCCAGCCAUAAAUAUCAUAAGAACCG
RNAcentral lists this small RNA (1691 nucleotides) under Histoplasma capsulatum. RNAcentral's name for it is "hypothetical RNA". Lineage: Eukaryota; Fungi; Ascomycota; Eurotiomycetes; Onygenales; Ajellomycetaceae. RNAcentral also lists the same sequence under 1 other name. The record is from RNAcentral.